Molecule: small RNA, 1510 nt
Filed under: Pan troglodytes (chimpanzee)
Lineage: Eukaryota; Metazoa; Chordata; Mammalia; Primates; Hominidae
Description: retained intron
Source: RNAcentral
CGCUGAGCACCGGAGAGAGCGUCUUGUGGCUGCGGCCUGCCCCUCAGCCUCCUCCGCGCGGUUACCCCUGUACCCGCCGCCAUCCGUCCUGGCGCUCCGGAUGAGUCAAUGAGGGGCAGGGCCCGAGGAGUGGUCUUCCCAAGAACCCCUGGUGGCCUCCCAAGGCCGGUGCUGUGUACCUCCUCCCCGACAAAAGGGGAAACUGAGGCCCCGAGGGGAGUGGGAAGAGCCGGCUGGACGUCAGGCCCAGCCGCUGGUGCAGUGGUCCGUCCCCUCCGCCGGGGUGGGCCCCUCGGGUUUCGCGUGUCCUCGGGAAAGAGACUGGCGGGUGAGCCGCGCCCUCGGCCUUCGCUGGGCUAAGCCGACCCCAUGCGGACGUCAAACCCCCCCAGGUCGGCACAACCUCUCUGCGGGGAGGCUUAGUGCCCCCUUGAGAAACGGCUUGGCAACGCUGUGCCCGGGGCCUUGCACGCGGGCUGAGGGGGGCUAGAGACCUCGCGACUUUUACUCCCCCGACCCCGAUCUCCGACUCCUGACUUUGGAAGCCCCCAAAGCUGCUUUUCGGUUGCCUACAAAGUGUCGGUCAUUGUGCCACGUCCUUGGAACCGUGAACUCAUUUUCUCCUCAAUAACCUUUAAAAAGUAGCUGUAAAACCUCCAUUUUACAGACCAGUUGGCUGAGGUUUAAAUGGAGGACGCUCCCAGGGCCCCAGAGGGGCGAAUUCCAGACUCCUUUGCCAGGACCUUGUACUAAGCCCCUUCCCUACGCUUUUCCCUGCCUAGGCCUCGUGGGCUGUGCGGCUAUCCUGGAGACAGAUGACAGCUCUCCCUUGGAUGGCUUUGCUGGUUCCGCACCAGCCAGCGCCCCUAUUUUUCCUGCAGCACCCUGAUCUGCACUCCCUGAGGGGCUCCCACUGUCCGCGGUGUGAGGAUGUCCCUGGAUAGUCCACUGUGUGCAGAGGCAUGGGAGUUGUCAUGUCGAGAACAUGCUAGACCUCAGUGUCCUUGAGGGAUGCCGCCUUGGGUCUGGAAAUUGUUAGAGGAAACCCCAAGAGGUGCAGGCACUGAGCCUCUCAGGACAAUGACCUGGGGUCCCAGCUCCCCUGGAGGGGCCUCCUCAUGAUUGUUUGGGGCUUGAUCACAGACCAAGAGUGACGAGUGAUGUCACCCUGUGACUCAUGGCCGGACCUUCUUGCCCCUAUUGUCUCAGCACAACAUUAUUUGACUUUUCCCUCAGCGUGGGUGGGCAGAGGAAAAGCCCUGUGGCUCUGGGGACUUGGGAUCCGGAGUUGAAGACCCUUCAGCUGGCUCUGCCCUGCCAGUGCCACAGAGUGCCAUGGCCCAGGAAGACAGGUUUUCUUCCAUCUAGGCCAGGCCAUCCAGUGGCCAUCCUCCGUGUCCUCCCGCCUCCUCCUGGUGUGACUUCUGAAAACCAAGAAUUUGUUCCUGUUGACUUUUUCUGUGCUAUGGACCAUUGUCCUCUCACCCACUCAAUAAAUCUUGAAACAUGC